AGAGUUUGAUCCUGGCUCAGGAUGAACGCUGGCGGCGUGCCUAAUACAUGCAAGUCGAACGCUUCACUUCGGUGAAGAGUGGCGAACGGGUGAGUAAUACAUAAGUAACCUGGCAUCUACAGGGGGAUAACUGAUGGAAACGUCAGCUAAGACCGCAUAGGUGUAGAGAUCGCAUGAACUCUAUAUGAAAAGUGCUACGGGACUGGUAGAUGAUGGACUUAUGGCGCAUUAGCUUGUUGGUAGGGUAACGGCCUACCAAGGCGACGAUGCGUAGCCGACCUGAGAGGGUGACCGGCCACACUGGGACUGAGACACGGCCCAGACUCCUACGGGAGGCAGCAGUAGGGAAUUUUCGGCAAUGGGGGAAACCCUGACCGAGCAACGCCGCGUGAAGGAAGAAGUAAUUCGUUAUGUAAACUUCUGUCAUAGAGGAAGAACGGUGGAUAUAGGGAAUGAUAUCCAAGUGACGGUACUCUAUAAGAAAGCCACGGCUAACUACGCGCCAGCAGCCGCGGUAAUACGUAGGUGGCGAGCGUUAUCCGGAAUUAUUGGGCGUAAAGAGGGAGCAGGCGGCACUAAGGGUCUGUGGUGAAAGAUCGAAGCUUAACUUCGGUAAGCCAUGGAAACCGUAGAGCUAGAGUGUGUGAGAGGAUCGUGGAAUUCCAUGUGUAGCGGUGAAAUGCGUAGAUAUAUGGAGGAACACCAGUGGCGAAGGCGACGAUCUGGCGCAUAACUGACGCUCAGUCCCGAAAGCGUGGGGAGCAAAUAGGAUUAGAUACCCUAGUAGUCCACGCCGUAAACGAUG
Molecule: ribosomal RNA, 805 nt
Filed under: uncultured bacterium
Lineage: Bacteria
Description: bacterial SSU rRNA
Rfam family: Bacterial small subunit ribosomal RNA
Source: RNAcentral